RNAcentral lists this long non-coding RNA (450 nucleotides) under Lonchura striata (white-rumped munia). Its description in RNAcentral is "domestica (Bengalese finch) lncRNA (ENSLSDG00000015451.1)". The record is from RNAcentral. Lineage: Eukaryota; Metazoa; Chordata; Aves; Passeriformes; Estrildidae.
ACCCGCUGCCAGGGCUCCAGUCAAGGAACUCCUUGCAUUGCUCUAAACACAUCCUAGGGGCUCCUGCCCCCCUCAACAUGCCAGCAUGCCUGGAUCCCUAAGAUCAGUGAGGUUUCCAGACUUCCUCCGUCUUUUUGUCCUGCACGAAAGCGCUUUGCUGGGUGCGCAAGUGUGCGUGUGAGGAGCGGAGAGGAGCGCCGGGAGGGCACGAUGCGAGGAUGGAUUUGGCUGCAUAGGAUCGAUGUAAAUGUCUCCUCAGGCCUCCCUCUACCUCGGGCUACACUACCAAGUGUCCUUCAUCUUCUCCCGGCGAACCCAGUAAAGGCUCAAGGCUCCUGGAGCUGGAACUGGCUCCCCUCCGAGUACAGCGGGAUCAAAACCUGCCUCCAAAGCGGGACCGGCUCGGGGACGAGCCCCACAGUAGCGCUGCUGUGGAGAUUGGGACAAUAG